GACGAACGCUGGCGGCGUGCUUAACACAUGCAAGUCGAACGGAAAGGCCCUGCUUUUGUGGGGUGCUCGAGUGGCGAACGGGUGAGUAACACGUGAGUAACCUGCCCUUGACUUUGGGAUAACUUCAGGAAACUGGGGCUAAUACCGGAUAGGAGCUCCUGCUGCAUGGUGGGGGUUGGAAAGUUUCGGCGGUUGGGGAUGGACUCGCGGCUUAUCAGCUUGUUGGUGGGGUAGUGGCUUACCAAGGCUUUGACGGGUAGCCGGCCUGAGAGGGUGACCGGCCACAUUGAGACUGAGAUACGGCCCAGACUCCUACGGGGGGCAGCAGUGGGGAAUAUUGCACAAUGGGCGGAAGCCUGAUGCAGCAACGCCGCGUGCGGGAUGACGGCCUUCGGGUUGUAAACCGCUUUCGCCUGUGACGAAGCGUGAGUGACGGUAAUGGGUAAAGAAGCACCGGCUAACUACGUG
This 468-nucleotide ribosomal RNA is filed under the name uncultured bacterium. RNAcentral describes it as "partial 16S ribosomal RNA". It matches the Rfam family "Bacterial small subunit ribosomal RNA", at positions 28 to 507 of the family's 1533-position model. The record is from RNAcentral.